RNAcentral lists this non-coding RNA (69 nucleotides) under Algoriphagus boritolerans DSM 17298 = JCM 18970. Lineage: Bacteria; Pseudomonadati; Bacteroidota; Cytophagia; Cytophagales; Cyclobacteriaceae. The record is from RNAcentral.
AGAGUAAAGCUUAUCAUGAGGAGUCAGCCGAGGCCAUAGUACCAGAUAUCGGCUAUGUCUGGGAAGGGC